AUGGAUUUCCCCCAGCCUUGCAGAGGAGGAAGCUGGGUGCUGCCCCAGGUGAUUUCGGGUCCAUCACAAGACCUCGUGCACUGUACCCAUUACCGAGGCCAGAAGCCGAUGUUUCCAUACCUUCUCAGCCCUGGGAGGAAGCCCCAGCUUGAAGUCUCACCCCUGUACACCGUUUUGUGUCUAUGGCCAGAUGUACCCAGCAGCCACAAACCCAAACUAUGUGGCAGUGACAACGCGGGGACCACAAAGUGCAUUUUGUGAUGUGCCAGUGGGCUGAGUUCAAAGCGGUUCCUUUUACCAUUUCAUCCUCUAAAUUACU
This 319-nucleotide long non-coding RNA is filed under the name Anas zonorhyncha (Eastern spot-billed duck). RNAcentral's name for it is "lncRNA (ENSAZOG00000009434.1)". The record is from RNAcentral. Lineage: Eukaryota; Metazoa; Chordata; Aves; Anseriformes; Anatidae.